RNAcentral lists this ribosomal RNA (301 nucleotides) under uncultured bacterium. Its description in RNAcentral is "partial 16S ribosomal RNA". It matches the Rfam family "Bacterial small subunit ribosomal RNA", at positions 509 to 807 of the family's 1533-position model. The record is from RNAcentral.
CAGUCGCCGCGGUAAUACGUAGGGUGCAAGCGUUAAUCGGAAUUACUGGGCGUAAAGGGCUCGCAGGCGGUUUCUUAAGUCUGAUGUGAAAGCCCCCGGCUCAACCGGGGAGGGUCAUUGGAAACUGGGAAACUUGAGUGCAGAAGAGGAGAGUGGAAUUCCACGUGUAGCGGUGAAAUGCGUAGAGAUGUGGAGGAACACCAGUGGCGAAGGCGACUCUCUGGUCCGUAACUGACGCUGAGGAGCGAAAGCGUGGGGAGCGAACAGGGUUAGAUACCCCAGUAGUCCCUGUCUCUUAUAC